This 65-nucleotide transfer RNA is filed under the name Encyrtus eulecaniumiae. RNAcentral's name for it is "tRNA-Leu". The record is from RNAcentral. Lineage: Eukaryota; Metazoa; Arthropoda; Insecta; Hymenoptera; Encyrtidae.
UUUAAUAUGGCAGAUUAGUGCGGUAGAUUUAAGAUUUACAUAUAUGAUUUACAUCAUUAUUAAAA